GUGGGUACAGCUCAGUGAUAGAGUGUGUGCUUAGCAUGCACAAGGUGCUGGGUUCAAUCCCUAGUACCUCCA
This 72-nucleotide transfer RNA is filed under the name Camelus bactrianus (Bactrian camel). It matches the Rfam family "tRNA". Rfam says of the family: Transfer RNA (tRNA) molecules are approximately 80 nucleotides in length. Their secondary structure includes four short double-helical elements and three loops (D, anti-codon, and T loops). RNAcentral also lists the same sequence under 3 other names. Lineage: Eukaryota; Metazoa; Chordata; Mammalia; Artiodactyla; Camelidae. The record is from Rfam by way of RNAcentral.